UACGUAGGCAGCAAGCGUUGUUCGGAGUUACUGGGCGUAAAGGGUGUGUAGGCGGUUCUCUAAGUCUGGUGUGAAAUCUCCCGGCUCAACUGGGAGGGUGCGCCGAAAACUGGAGGACUAGAGUGCGGGAUGGGAGAGUGGAAUUCCUGGUGUAGCGGUGAAAUGCGUAGAUAUCAGGAGGAACACCUGCGGUGUAGACGGCUUUCUGGACCAUUGUUGACGCUGAGACACGAAAGCGUGGGUAGCAAACAGG
Molecule: ribosomal RNA, 253 nt
Filed under: uncultured bacterium
Lineage: Bacteria
Description: partial 16S ribosomal RNA
Rfam family: Bacterial small subunit ribosomal RNA
Source: RNAcentral